This 121-nucleotide non-coding RNA is filed under the name Palpitomonas bilix. The record is from RNAcentral.
AGCAGGAAAGGAGUAAACAGGAGAGAAGCAAAGAAUAAAAAAAGAGGUGGAAAAUAGGCAAAGGGCGGUGCGGGUGAGAGCCUCCUUUUUUUUCCCUCUUUUUGUUGUCCCACCUCUUUUU